GGGCUGUCUAUGAUGUCACAAAGGCAUCUGUCAGUUGCCUGGCUAUAAAGGUGGCCUCUCCCUCUUCCCAGCACAGACCUCGGUGGGCAGCAGCUCUGGGGGGUCUCCUUCCUCAGGGAGGCAAAAUGGCAGGAGGAAGGAGGCACUCAUCCUGCAAUGGGAUGCUGAGGAACAGGCAGAAGGCAAGUUCGCUUGCUGGGUGGGAUCGCAGCUUGAAGGCAGCCGAUUCUCACAGUCAGAAGCUGGCUGGUGUCUGGUAACAGACCUGGCAGAAGCCGGCAGGUGUUGGUGGCUGGUGGAGUUUGCAGUCAGAAGCCAGCGGGUGCCGUAAGGUGCUGCAGGUGUCAGCUGGCUGAAGGUCACCUUUGGAAGUCAGUUGACAGAAGCCGUGUGGAUAUUCAUGACUUGAAGCUGGGUGUGUGUGUGUGUGUGAAUGCGUCCACAGACAUUCCUCACGGGAUGGCAGAUGGCAUGUGUCUAUGAGUGCAAAUGGGAGGUUUCGAAUAGAGUGUGUCUAUGAGUGCAAAUGGGAGGUUUCGAAUGGAGUGUGUCUGCGUGUGUGAAUGGGAGCAUUCGGACGUGGUCCAGGUAAGUAGUGUUGUGGCUGGGAAAUACGUGCUCAGCGGGUGGCAGAUGCCAUCCUCUGGGCGCAGGGUGAAUGGAACCAGUGGAUAUUCAUGGGCAGAAACCAGCAGAAGUUGACCAGGACGUCCGGGGUGAAGUUGCCAGGCAGCAGCCAGUGGAGGGUCUGGCUGAGGCUGCUGGACGGAGGCCAUCCCACUCACCGUGGUGUUUGCCUUCCAGGAAGCCGGUGAGGUUUUCCCCAAGACCGAUCGUGAAAGUAAUGAAGAGAACAGCAGGACUCAAGCAAGGAAGUUUAUUUUCCUAAAAAAAAUGCCUUUUUCAAAAAAGCAAAACUGUGUCUGACCGGUUUCCUAUAUAGUGGUACCUCGGGUUACAUAGGCUUCAGGUUACAGACUCCACUAACCCAGAAAUAUUACCUCGGGUUAAGAACUUUGCUUCAGAAUGAGAACAGAAAUCGUGCUCCGGCGGCACAGCGGCAGCGGGAGGGCCCAUUAGCUAAAGUGGUGCUUCAGGUUAAGAACAGUUUCAGGUUAAGUACGGACCUCCAGAUCGAAUUAAGUACUUAACCUGAGGUACCACUGUAAAACAAAUGCAAUGCUAAGUUUCUAAAUGCAUACAUGUUUAGUGUUCUUUUUUGCCCCCUCCCAAUGGGGGGGGGGGUUUGCAGGUGUUUCUCUAGUUGUUGCCAAUGGCUACGAUGAUGUCAAAGUUUCUGUGAUGUCACAAGCAGACAUGGAUCGCUGAGAGGAAAAGCUGGAGGGGCAGGGAUAGAAAGACAGGGUGAGAAAGGCUAGAGAACUAGAUGGCUUUAAAAGAAGACUGGACAAAUUCAUGGAUUCGGUGGGUGCCAGAAGUUGCUGCAGAUGUCAGCUUUUUGAAGGUCUCCUUUGGAUGUCAGUUGACAGAAGCUGUGUGGAGAUUCAUGGCUUGAAGCUGGUGUGUUUGUGUGUGUUUAUGAAUGGAGAGCGGCUGGUGAGCGAAUGCGUCCACACACAUUCUUCCUGGGAUGGCGUGUGUCUGCGUGUGCAAACAGGAGCCUUCGGACAUGGUCAAGGUGAACAGUCCUUGUGUCUGGGAAAUGCAUGUUCCGUAUGUUAAGUCUAUUCUGCCAACUUAACAUAUAGAAGAAGAGAACAAGAAGAACAUACGUUUGAAGAAGGCUGGAAAACGUUGACUGAAUAUAUGGGGAAUAACUAUGUACAGAUUUCUCGUUGACACUAUGCCUGACCUGACACAUGUUGACCAACUGAUAAUUGUGGUUUGAUACUGAGCCACUGUCCCCUCCUGCUACUUCCCUUUCCCUGCCCGCAGCUUCCCCCUU
This 1906-nucleotide long non-coding RNA is filed under the name Podarcis lilfordi (Lilford's wall lizard). Lineage: Eukaryota; Metazoa; Chordata; Lepidosauria; Squamata; Lacertidae. The record is from RNAcentral.